This is a long non-coding RNA of Quercus robur (English oak), 618 nucleotides long. RefSeq lists it as uncharacterized. The record is from RefSeq and is a predicted model, not a curated record. The transcript is spliced from 3 exons. NCBI's taxonomy places the organism in Eukaryota, Viridiplantae, Streptophyta, Magnoliopsida, Fagales, Fagaceae.
UUUCUUCCUAGUCUAAUGGAAUUUUUUUUUUUUUUUUGCAGGGGCCACGGCCCCCCCAAGCCUCUACGUGGCUCCGCCCCUAGGUGUACUGACUUUAUUAUUUUAUUUGGUUAAUUAAUUUAUUUAUUUACUAUGUUUGUUGAUGUUUUAGUUUGCAUUAUGCUAAUGUUUCUUUGGGGAAUCCGAGUUUAUCAUUCUUGGUGGUGUUAGACACAGGCAGUGAUUUGUUCUGGAUACCAUGUGAUUGUCAGAAAAAUGGUUGCGUAAAGGCCUUACAGUCAUCAUCUGGAGCGGGGUAUGUUAAGUUAAACACAAAUUCUUCAUAGCAGGGAUGGGUUUUGGACAUUGGUUUAAGAAAAUAAUCGGCUCAAAGAAAGGGAAGCGCGGCAGUUCAAAACAAGUAAAGUUGGUUCUAGGCAGCCCAACAUGCAAAGACAUGGUCUUCUACUCCUCUUUAUUACGCAUCUAGACAACAGCAUCUUGGUUUUUUAUUUAGUAUGUAUGUAAAGUUGACUUAUAUGUAUCCUUCUCAAUUGCAUUACACACAGUAUGUACAAUUUUGAAGCAAGUCACAUAGUUUAUUAUUAUUAUUAUUAUUAUUGAAAAAUUUGAUGCAAA